This 412-nucleotide long non-coding RNA is filed under the name Lonchura striata (white-rumped munia). Its description in RNAcentral is "domestica (Bengalese finch) lncRNA (ENSLSDG00000002099.1)". The record is from RNAcentral. Lineage: Eukaryota; Metazoa; Chordata; Aves; Passeriformes; Estrildidae.
GGGUGCCUGGUACUGCAGGCUCUGCUGAAUCUGUCUGCAAGAUUUCCUCAGCCCAGCCCUGGGUCCAUUAGAAUUACCCACCAUGUGUCAGCUUUGAUAGACCUCACCCAGGAACAAUCAUAAAGAGAGAAGUGUGGCAAGCUCCUGCUUCAUAUCCCAGUAACCCACAGCCUGCCUCUGUGCACAUGACUCCCACAGACACAGUAAAACCUGAUUUAAGUGCCAGCAGAGAGAGACUGCUUGAAGCGGAACUUGGCACCAUGUUUCUUGGCCUCUCCAAAUCUGGAUUACAAUAGAUACCAUAAAUACAUAGAUUAAAUGCUUUCAUCUGAAAGCCCUGAUAAAUGGACUGCACCAUAUGCUGAGAUGGGAUUCUUGACAACAUCAGAUAAUCUCUUCAAAACUCCUUUGG